Molecule: ribosomal RNA, 490 nt
Filed under: uncultured bacterium
Lineage: Bacteria
Description: partial 16S ribosomal RNA
Rfam family: Bacterial small subunit ribosomal RNA
Source: RNAcentral
AUUGAACGCUGGCGGCAGGCCUAACACAUGCAAGUCGAACGGUAACAGGAAGAAGCUUGCUUCUUUGCUGACGAGUGGCGGACGGGUGAGUAAUGUCUGGGAAACUGCCUGAUGGAGGGGGAUAACUACUGGAAACGGUAGCUAAUACCGCAUAACGUCGCAAGACCAAAGAGGGGGACCUUCGGGCCUCUUGCCAUCGGAUGUGCCCAGAUGGGAUUAGCUAGUAGGUGGGGUAACGGCUCACCUAGGCGACGAUCCCUAGCUGGUCUGAGAGGAUGACCAGCCACACUGGAACUGAGACACGGUCCAGACUCCUACGGGAGGCAGCAGUGGGGAAUAUUGCACAAUGGGCGCAAGCCUGAUGCAGCCAUGCCGCGUGUAUGAAGAAGGCCUUCGGGUUGUAAAGUACUUUCAGCGGGGAGGAAGGGAGUAAAGUUAAUACCUUUGCUCAUUGACGUUACCCGCAGAAGAAGCACCGGCUAACUGCGUG